AACGAACGCUGGCGGCAGGCCUAACACAUGCAAGUCGAGCGAACCCUUCGGGGUUAGCGGCGGACGGGUUAGUAACGCGUGGGAAUAUACCCUUUGGUACGGAAUAGCCUCGGGAGACUGAGAGUAAUACCGUAUGUGCCCUUCGGGGGAAGAUUUAUCGCCAAAGGAUUAGCCCGCGUUGGAUUAGAUAGUUGGUGGGGUAAUGGCCUACCAAGUCUACGAUCCAUAGCUGGUUUGAGAGGAUGAUCAGCAACACUGGGACUGAGACACGGCCCAGACUCCUACGGGAGGCAGCAGUGGGGAAUCUUAGACAAUGGGCGCAAGCCUGAUCUAGCCAUGCCGCGUGGACGAUGAAGGCCUUAGGGUUGUAAAGUCCUUUCAGAUGGGAAGAUAAUGACGGUACCAUCAGAAGAAGCCCCGGCUAACUCCGUG
This 432-nucleotide ribosomal RNA is filed under the name uncultured bacterium. RNAcentral's name for it is "bacterial SSU rRNA". It matches the Rfam family "Bacterial small subunit ribosomal RNA", at positions 29 to 507 of the family's 1533-position model. The record is from RNAcentral.